RNAcentral lists this ribosomal RNA (111 nucleotides) under Lemna minor. Its description in RNAcentral is "18S rRNA". It matches the Rfam family "Eukaryotic small subunit ribosomal RNA", at positions 1679 to 1785 of the family's 1831-position model. Lineage: Eukaryota; Viridiplantae; Streptophyta; Magnoliopsida; Alismatales; Araceae. The record is from RNAcentral.
CUCCUACCGAUUGAAUGGUCCGGUGAAGCGCUCGGAUCGCGGCGACGAGGGCGGUCCCCCGCCCGCGACGUCGCGAGAAGUCCGUUGAACCUUAUCAUUUAGAGGAAGGAG